Oncorhynchus tshawytscha (Chinook salmon) is the source of this 762-nucleotide long non-coding RNA. RefSeq lists it as uncharacterized. The transcript is spliced from 4 exons. The record is from RefSeq and is a predicted model, not a curated record. Lineage: Eukaryota; Metazoa; Chordata; Actinopteri; Salmoniformes; Salmonidae.
UUGGGGGAAGGGGGGAUUAGGAGGCAAGUGUUUUUAAAUUGUGCAGCAUGUAGCAAUCAUAAGAGUGGUAACAGCAGUUGUGUGCGUAUGGGUGAGUGCAUGUUUGCUAAGGUGCAGAGAAUCAGAGCAGGUGGUCAGUCCAGUUCAAGUGUUUAGCAAUCUGAUGGCUUGUAGAUCGAAACUGUCUCUGAGCCUGUUGGUAUCAGACCUCAUCCUCUGAUAUUGUCUGCCCGACGGUAUCCGGGCCCACUGUUGUGGAAUUCCAGACUAACUCGUCAUUAGCAGCGGAUAAGAUCCACAAAGGUGGGAUUUACCCCAGAGCAUCCCUACAUUGCUCUGCCCCUGGAGCUAGCAAGUGAAUGCUCCCCUGAGCCGUCCCGACUACGGUCUGGAGGCAAGGAAGGAAAGGUAACACUGGGAGCUCGUCUGGGAUUUUUUCCUGCCUGAAUCGACUCUAUGCAGCGAGUACAUCUGUAGAUGUUGCUUAGUCCCAUUACCCACGCAGGAUGCUAGCAGCUCUGCCCUCCACUCCAGCCAUGCCUCCUGUGGAAAACCCCUGCUCACAGUCGCAGGACAACCAUGGAUGUGUCCGGCGUGAUGCUCUGCCUACUGAAGGAGAGAAAUUGGGAUGCUGCAUUCACACUGGAAUAACAGGGCUCCCGAGUGGCGCAGCAAUCUAAGAGGAAUCACUACACUCCCUGGUUUGAAUCCAGGCUGUAUCACAUCUGGCUGUGAUUGGAAGUCCCAUAGGGCAGUGCACAA